GAGGCCGGGCCUAAGAGGAGAAUAAUGGCCCAAAACCCAUCAAGCCCUCCUUAGACUCAGCAUUUCAGGUCUCGACUCAGACACGCCGAGCCGGAUGGAUUACCCGCGAGCCCAGACCCAGCAGAAAGAAGUCCAGUCUGGUGAUGUGAUGUGAGGGAGAGGAGCUGGUCCAGUCACUUCACAGCCCAGCCCGCACGCGCGCCGGGGGAAUUAAAUGGCUGUCUGGUAUGGAGAGGGGUCUGACACAUCCGUACGUACGGGCCUGAGUGACAUAGACAGGUAGCACAAUAGCAGAGAGGCGGGAGACGUCAGGAAC
This 316-nucleotide long non-coding RNA is filed under the name Manihot esculenta (cassava). RNAcentral describes it as "long non-coding RNA (MESC_LNC001777)". The record is from RNAcentral. Lineage: Eukaryota; Viridiplantae; Streptophyta; Magnoliopsida; Malpighiales; Euphorbiaceae.